Long non-coding RNA from Corapipo altera (White-ruffed manakin), 1035 nucleotides. RefSeq lists it as uncharacterized. NCBI's taxonomy places the organism in Eukaryota, Metazoa, Chordata, Aves, Passeriformes, Pipridae. The transcript is spliced from 2 exons. The record is from RefSeq and is a predicted model, not a curated record.
CUAGGAAUAGUGGGGACACCGGGAAUACCGGGCACACACCGGGAAAACCGGGCACCACGUCCAGUCCCUCCAGCCCCGGCCUCCCGCGGGCACCAGGCGCUGUAGCGUUUUGCAGGUGUCCCUCCCACGGCCCGCUCCCGGGACAGCCCUGCUGCAGGAGUGACCUUGUCCCACACACCUGGGGUCCGCGGGACCGCUCGUGUCCGUGUGUCGGGAGCGCCGCGAACCCGCCCUGUCCCUGCGCGUCCCAGGGCACCUCCACAGGGUCGGCGUGGGAACAGUCCCGCUCUGCACCUGCAGCUGAACGUUUGCAUUAUCUACAAACCCCACCGAGCUGCAUCUCCAAGUGUUCUGGUUUCCUGGAGCACUGUUCCCGCUGGGGUUCCACCCCUGUGCUCACCAGGGGCGCUGCCAGGGCAGCCCUGGAGAACCGGGCGCUGCCGUCCAGCAGCACAGCCAAGCACCUGCGUCCAUCCCAGUCCUCCCCUCAGUUUGCCAGCUGAAUCCCCGCGGUCUCCGGGGGUUGGAGUGUCAGGGAUAGCAGUGCCCACCCAGAUACCUGACAGAGGCGCCAGCCCAGCCCCUGAUGCUGGCCGGGAAUCCUGGAGUGGAACAGCGGGAGCCCUGCAGCUCCAGGACAGGGACCGGUCUGAAAUGCUGUCCCGAGGGAAGAGGGCCCGCAGCAGCAGAGCCCACUCCAGCCCCUGGUGCUGCUUCUCCGGCAGGAGGAUGGACUGCACUGCUGAGGUCACUCACACACUGCAGAGGAGUUUGGAACUACAGGCUGAGGUAUGCAGGGAGCCUGGUCAAUGCCUGCUGGCAAGAUGACUUUAAAUCUUACAUGUCUUCUAAACAGCAAUAUAAUACUGAACAGAAACACUUCCUCUUACAGGCAAAAUUAAUGCUCUUUUCCUAGUGUACAAUCUGUUUAGCUAACAAACCUGUUCCAGCUUUAGUAAACUGACGAUCUAUUCCCCCAUUAAAAACAGCAACAUUUACCAUUUACUAACAAAUAGAACUAUUCAAAAGUGUAAA